RNAcentral lists this ribosomal RNA (464 nucleotides) under uncultured bacterium. Its description in RNAcentral is "bacterial SSU rRNA". It matches the Rfam family "Bacterial small subunit ribosomal RNA", at positions 338 to 793 of the family's 1533-position model. The record is from RNAcentral.
CCUACGGGCGGCACCAGUGGGGAAUAUUGGACAAUGGGGGGAACCCUGAUCCAGCCAUGCCGCGUGUGUGAAGAAGGCCUUUUGGUUGUAAAGCACUUUAAGCGAGGAGGAGGCUACCUAGAUUAAUACUUUAGGAUAGUGGACGUUACUCGCAGAAUAAGCACCGGCUAACUCUGUGCCAGCAGCCGCGGUAAUACAGAGGGUGCGAGCGUUAAUCGGAUUUACUGGGCGUAAAGUGUGCGUAGGCGGCCAAUUAAGUCAAAUGCGAAAUCCCCGAGCUUAACUUGGGAAUUGCAUUCGAUACUGGUUGGCUAGAGUAUGGGAGAGGAUGGUAGAAUUCCAGGUGUAGCGGUGAAAUGCGUAGAGAUCUGGAGGAAUACCGAUGGCGAAGGCAGCCAUCUGGCCUAAUACUGACGCUGAGGUACGUAAGCAUGGGGAGCAAACAGGAUUAGAUACCCUGGUAG